This 1071-nucleotide long non-coding RNA is filed under the name Gallus gallus (chicken). Lineage: Eukaryota; Metazoa; Chordata; Aves; Galliformes; Phasianidae. The record is from RNAcentral.
AUUUUCCUCAUCCCAUGGAGGUAUUUGGACUUACAUCCUGAUUCGUCAUUGAUUCCAAAUUCCUCAUUUUCUCCAGUUUCUGAUAAGACGGCAGCUUUUGUUCUACGUCCUGGCAAUUUCUACAAAGCAAGGCUUCAAGAUGACCGUAGGAAGGUUUCAAAGAUCCCCUCAAACCAUUUGUUGGGCUUGCUGCUUCUUGCAGUUGUAGUUGAACUUACUGUGAGAACAUAAUUUUACAGCUGAAUCUAUAAUAACACAAUGAUAUCCAUAGACUAAUGAAGUAAUACAAUAUUAAUACAGAGGUAAUGGUAACAUUUUUUUUAUCCUUUAUGGACCCAACCGUGCUUUUCCUCUCACUAAAAUGGGAGCUCAGAAAACAUGGGGUGAAGGAAACUAGGGAGAAAGAGAUAGGCACUAAGCAGCAAACACAGUAUGGUAAGUGCUGUAAGCUAGGGCUAGGGUAAGGGAAAAGAAAGGUUUAUGUCAGAAACAUUCAGAGCAACGAUCUCUGCUUCCUUUCUUUCUUCCUUCCAUUUCCUCUCUCCUUCCCAGCACUCCCUCUUGCUUGUUUAUCUUUCUUUUCUCCCCCAGCAUUUCUUUGUUGGUGGGUUCUCUUGUGGGUUUUUUUUUCUUCCCUUUUGUUAUGGUUCAGGUCUGGCCGAUGUCCUGUUCCAUAGUUCCUGAUGUAGCUGGCGAUUGCGCUGGUUCAUAAUCGUAGUAGCAGAGAGCUGACUGAGGAGCCUCAGCAUGCUGGGCAUGGCGCAGACUUGGGCUCGGAGGGGAUGUGCUCAUUGUGCUGAAGAUGCUUAAACGGGAGGGAAAAUAGAGAUAAAUGCACAUGAACAGAGGAGGGCGGUUGUGGCGUGGAGCUGAGCUGGCAAAAGAAGACAAGGUUAGAGAGCUGGAUGGGGCUGAUAUACAGUCGGAAUAUGGUAGUCCCAGAGCAGUUGCAGACUCUUUGAACCAAAGGUCAUCUUCAUCUCCCUACAGCUGGAGCUCCUGACGGGCUCCUGUCUGUAGGCAGCUCCCAGGGCCAAGGGCAAGCGGGCUGGAGCAGAGCGUGGAAUGGCA